This 253-nucleotide ribosomal RNA is filed under the name uncultured microorganism. Its description in RNAcentral is "partial 16S ribosomal RNA". It matches the Rfam family "Bacterial small subunit ribosomal RNA", at positions 524 to 776 of the family's 1533-position model. The record is from RNAcentral.
UACGUAGGGUGCGAGCGUUAAUCGGAUUUACUGGGCGUAAAGCGUGCGCAGGCGGCCCGUUAAGACAGGUGUGAAAUCCCUGGGCUCAACCUAGGGAUUGCGCUUGUGACUGGCGGGCUCGAGUACGGUAGAGGGGGGUGGAAUUCCUGGUGUAGCAGUGAAAUGCGUAGAGAUCAGGAGGAACACCGAUGGCGAAGGCAGCCCCCUGGGCCUGUACUGACGCUCAUGCACGAAAGCGUGGGGAGCAAACAGG